UGAAAAGCGUAAUGAGAAACGCCCUGUGCGA
RNAcentral lists this non-coding RNA (31 nucleotides) under Rattus norvegicus (Norway rat). Lineage: Eukaryota; Metazoa; Chordata; Mammalia; Rodentia; Muridae. The record is from RNAcentral.